This is a non-coding RNA of Musa acuminata subsp. malaccensis (wild Malaysian banana), 417 nucleotides long. The record is from RefSeq and is a predicted model, not a curated record. NCBI's taxonomy places the organism in Eukaryota, Viridiplantae, Streptophyta, Magnoliopsida, Zingiberales, Musaceae.
GGGGCGAUAGAGAAGGGCGAGAAGAGCUCGCGGGUUCCUUCGAAGCUCGAUUCGAGGAUCGUUAGGCCUUUCUUGAGGGCGAUCGACAUCAACGCCAUGACCCAGAGAGUGGAGAUCGGCAAUCGCAUCUCCCCUCACCCUUCUACUACCGUAUCGCGGAAGCAGUUUGGGUUCCAUGGGACUAGAGAUGACGGUGAUGGUUCAAUGUGAGUUUUCCGGUUGGAUACGUGGGAAGGAACCAUCAAGGAUCAACAUCCUCUUUUCUCUCCCAUCCACCCAGAAUUGAAUCCUCCACCAGUCACAAAUCAGGUAGUAACAAAUCAGGAUCAACAUCAGUCUAAUCCCCAUAAUGUUGCAGGUAAGCAUUGUCAUGAACUUGGAAUCAUCAUUCAAGACUUCUCUUACCAAUAUGAGCCG